AUGCCACAGCUCACGGCAAUGCGGAUCCCUGACCCACUGAGUGAGGCCAGUGGUGGAACCUGCAUCUUCAUGGAUACUAGUCAGAUUUGUUUUUGCUGUGCCACAAUAGGAACUCCAAUAAUACCAUCUGAGCCUAAGUGGAAGCACUUUUGUCUGGAAAAACUGGAGCCCAGAAGGAUGAGAGAAAGAACCUGUUCCCUCCUAUCAAAGUUUGUUUUCAUGCCCUGUGGAAGCAGAAUAUUGGAGUGGUUAAGAGCACAAGCUCUUUGUCAAUCUGCCUUGCUUUGAAGUCUGGAUCCACCAAUAAUAAGCUGAGUGAUGUUUGUCAAUCUAUUUAACCUUUCUGUGGCUUUGUUUAUUCAUGAAAAAUAAUGGGAAAAUGGGAGUCAUAAUUCUACCUGGUGCAGAGAAUUCUUAUGAAAAUCAAGUGAGGCAAUGUAUGUAAGUUACUUAUAAUAAUUUCUGGCACUCAAUAAGAGGCGCUCAAUAAAUUUUGUUCUUAUUAACUAUUCUUAAUGCUA
RNAcentral lists this long non-coding RNA (521 nucleotides) under Sus scrofa (pig). RNAcentral's name for it is "lncRNA (ENSSSCG00060058401.1)". The record is from RNAcentral. Lineage: Eukaryota; Metazoa; Chordata; Mammalia; Artiodactyla; Suidae.